AGAACGAACGCUGGCGGCAUGCCUAAUACAUACAAGUCGAACGAACACUUCGGUGUUAGUGGCGCACGGGUGCGUAACGCGUGGGAAUCUGCCCUUGGGUUCGGAAUAACAGUUGGAAACGACUGCUAAUACCGGAUGAUAUCGAAAGAUCAAAGAUUUAUCGCCCAGGGAUGAGCCCGCGUAGGAUUAGCUAGUUGGUGAGGUAAAGGCUCACCAAGGCGACGAUCCUUAGCUGGUCUGAGAGGAUGAUCAGUCACACUGGAACUGAGACACGGUCCAGACUCCUACGGGAGGCAGCAGUGGGGAAUAUUGGACAAUGGGCGAAAGCCUGAUCCAGCCAUGCCGCGUGUGUGAAGAAGGUCUUCGGAUUGUAAAGCACUUUAAGUUGGGAGGAAGGGUUGUAACUUAAUACGUUGCAACUUUGACGUUACCGACAGAAUAAGCACCGGCUAACUUCGUGCCAGCAGCCGC
RNAcentral lists this ribosomal RNA (471 nucleotides) under uncultured soil bacterium. RNAcentral's name for it is "bacterial SSU rRNA". It matches the Rfam family "Bacterial small subunit ribosomal RNA", at positions 26 to 518 of the family's 1533-position model. The record is from RNAcentral.